This 279-nucleotide ribosomal RNA is filed under the name uncultured Staphylococcus sp. Its description in RNAcentral is "partial 16S ribosomal RNA". It matches the Rfam family "Bacterial small subunit ribosomal RNA", at positions 83 to 355 of the family's 1533-position model. Lineage: Bacteria; Bacillati; Bacillota; Bacilli; Caryophanales; Staphylococcaceae. The record is from RNAcentral.
CCUUUGACGUUAGCGGCGGACGGGUGAGUAACACGUGGGUAACCUACCUAUAAGACUGGGAUAACUUCGGGAAACCGGAGCUAAUACCGGAUAAUAUUUCGAACCGCAUGGUUCGAUAGUGAAAGAUGGUUUUGCUAUCACUUAUAGAUGGACCCGCGCCGUAUUAGCUAGUUGGUAAGGUAACGGCUUACAAAGGCGACGAUACGUAGCCGACCUGAGAGGGUGAUCGGCCACACUGGAACUGAGACACGGUCCAGACUCCUACGGGAGGCAGCAGCC